GUUGUGAUUUAUUGAGUUUGAAAAGGGAAGAAAAGAAAAUUGUUUGGAAAAAAGUGGUUAUGAUGAUAGUUAUAGCAACUGUGCUGGUCCUGGUGAUUAUGGUAAUUGUUGUGUUUGUGGCAAUGGUGCUCAUAUGUUGGCAGAGUUAAAUGAAGGUUGCAUUGCUCUAGUGUUGACUGGUGAUUGGUGAAAGUGGUAGUGGUUGUAGGAUUGGGAAUGGUAAUGGUGGUGUUACUGCCUGAUAGUGUUGAAGUGAUCUGGUGGAAAAUGAUGAUUCCA
RNAcentral lists this unclassified non-coding RNA (279 nucleotides) under Hevea brasiliensis (rubber tree). Lineage: Eukaryota; Viridiplantae; Streptophyta; Magnoliopsida; Malpighiales; Euphorbiaceae. The record is from RNAcentral.